Cricetulus griseus (Chinese hamster) is the source of this 443-nucleotide non-coding RNA. The record is from RefSeq and is a predicted model, not a curated record. NCBI's taxonomy places the organism in Eukaryota, Metazoa, Chordata, Mammalia, Rodentia, Cricetidae.
GAAGUAGACGUGGAUUUGGGGAUUUGGGGAUGGCUAUAAUGGGUAUGGAGGAGGACCUGGAGGAAAUUAUGGAAAUGGAAAUUAUAAUGAUUUUGGAAAUUAUAACCAGCAAUCUUCUAACUAUGGCCCAAUGAAGAGUGGAAACUUUGGUGGUAGCAGGAACAUGGGAGGACCAUAUGUUGGAGGAAACUAUGGUCCUGGAGGAAGUGGAGGAAGUGGGGGCUUUGGUGGAAGGAGCCGGUGCUGAGCGUCUUCCUACUUACCAUGGGCUUCGCUGUAUAAAUUGGAGAGGAUGAGAGCCCAGAGGUAACAGAACAGCUUCAGGUUAUCAAAAUAACAAUGUUAAGGAAACUCUUAUCUUAGUCAUGCAUAAAUAUGCAGUGAUGUGGCAGAAGACACCAGAGCAGAUGCAGAGAGCCAUUUUGUGAAUGGAUUGGAUUAUU